CUUCACUUCAGUCCGCUGCUGCUCGCGAUGACGUUGGGCGCGAUGAGGAUCCUCUGAUCUGAGAUGAUUCCGCCGCUCGUGAGGAGGCGCCUGGCUUCAGAGCGAGUUGUGGCGUGAACUCCUCGUCGUGCAGCAGCCGCUGACUGGAUGCAGCUGGAGGGAGUUUCAGAGUUUUGCCCAAAGCUGCAGCAAAGUUGCACACAAGCCAACUCAACCUGCUGCAACAGGAAACCAGCAUCACCAGCACACAAGUGAAACCCGCGCCAGUGAAGGCCGGGCCCUCGUGUCCCUGUAGCUUCCGUCCCUCCAUGUCCCCCUGCUGUCUGUAGACUGAGGCGAUGGACAGCCCGUCCUCCACAGUGAGGCGGCGAGCCUGGAUCAACAGCAGCCGGCGGCGGUCCACUCUGGAGGAGCCGGACCCCGAGAGGCGGCUGGGCAGCCUCCCCUCGGCCUCCAUCACAGAUGACGACGUCUUCUCUGAUGGAUGCUUCACAGGAAAGAUCGAGGACUGGCUGCAGGCUUGUGGGUCAAACAACCCCCGCCAGCUGAGCCUUGAGACUAUGGUCAAAGCCAACAACUUCGAUGAUGACCUGAGUCUUGGUGCUGAUGCCUCUGUGUUAAACGGUGGAAUCCCUCCAUGUGAAGCUGGUCCCGCUCAGCAUCCGUCCUCGAUACUUCGACGAGGCCGACUCACCAGCAGCAGAGCGGGACUAUCCCCUCCUUCGUUUCACUUAGGGAACAGUAUGACCUCCAGCUGUCCCUCCUCCUCCUACACCUGUAAAACAACAUCAAGUGUAUCUGAGGUCCUGGAUAUGUAUUCGGAAGAUGCAGAGGAGACGCUGUACGAGUUGGGUUUUGGCAACGAUGAGCCACAGGCCACGGUGCGCAUCCCUCCUCGUUUCUUCACCUUCCCGUCUCAGGCUGAGGGCAUCAGCUUCCGCCUCUUCCUGGACGCACAGCUGCGGCGGAUACGAGAGGAGGACCCCAGCCUCUCUCUUGCUAGUCGUUUCAGACAAGUCCAAACGCUCACGGCGAUGGCCAACGUCUUUUACUCCCUCUACUCCCACGUGUCCCGCACCCCGGUCCAGAAACUGGUCCCACCAGAGUUGUGCCUCUCGUCUCCCAUGGAGAAGAUCGACCGCUUCCGGAGCAGCGUUCGCAGUGAGCCGCGCUCUCCGGUGGAGAGGCUGAAGGACACCGUCUCCAAGAUGUGCCUCUACACGGGCUCCCCUCGGGGCUCGGUCUCCACCUCUCCGCAGCCGUCACCCAUGAAAAGGUCCAGCCUCCCGGAGGUCGUGGACAUGGUCCUGGUUAAAGUCAAGACGGGGGCGACCAAGAAACUGGAUUUGGGGGAAUGUAACAGGAGUGGUUCAUCGGUGGAUGUCGGGCUCAUAGAUGAGGAUACAUCCUGUAGCAGUGGACAAAUGGACACAGACAUUGUCGGAAAUACAAUCCAUCAUAAGGAGACAAGCAAUAGACAAGUAGAUAAUUCUGAUGCUGAUGAAACCGUUGUCCAACCAGCAGACGAUGACAGAAAGACUCUGAAUAUAGAAACAUCUCUUUCCACAUUAUCAGGAGAAACUGAUCAUCAGGGUCUGUCACCUCGGGCAGAGCAGGCUGCCAUGGUCACACGUGAUCUAAUCUGCCCACAGAUAGUGGAGAGCGUACACCACGCACCCUUCUGCUGCCAACACACACCCUGUCCCAAAACACACACUGGGACAGAAGGCACUGAUAAAGCACAUGAACCCGACAGACAAGCCCCUGUAUCUGCUCCUGGUGUGGACUCAUCCUCCACAGGGGACGUUACGUCUUCUGGAGGGGUCGGACCGGAGGGUGCAUCCAGCUCACUUCCUGUCCUGGCCCCCCCCGCCGGCAGCCAUACAGAUUACUGCAUCACUGUGACCGGCUGGGAGGGGGACGGUCCCUCCUCCUCCUCCUCCUCCUCCAGUGCGCCACAUUCCUGCCAUGCUUCAAAUGUCCCGCCUGUCCGGACACGUGCGGGGUCGUUAGAAGGCGAGAAGACCCGGUACCUGAAUCCUCCGACUCAUCAGGGCCUGAGGAACUUCUCCAAGACCGACGUGAAACCGGUGAACUCGUUUGAGCUGGAGGAGGUGCACAGCGCAGGGGAGGAAGAGUUUGGACAGUCAAAUACUACAAGAGCUUCAAACUCACCAGUGUGCACGCAGGGCCAGCACAAAGGUACAGUAUAUUCAUGUUUCAUUUGUGUUUGAGGAACAUUCUUUACAUGUUGCCUCGGUACAAUGUGGUCAGGAUUUACAGGAACAUGACUCAUCAUCCAACAAACUGCUGCGCAAUUAACCCUGACCCUGUUUUGAAGGGAAGUAACGCAUGUGGUCGGUGUGUGCAGCACUUUGUCAAAGCACGUGGAUGUGAAGUGGUCCGGGGCGACAGCGUGCAGUCAGACAGCAGCGGCUACGCAGACGAAGAAGUCAGUCCCUCGUCGGACAGACACGCCCGAUGACACAAAGACACAGAACUCCAUCAUUCAAUCUUCACACAUUUGCACUGAGGAUUUGAGUUUGUGCGACUCGUGAUUUGUGCGUCCAAAAUGACUUUGUCCCAUUUGACACUUUUCAGAGGAUCUACACCGAAAAAAAUCAAGUUUAUCAAAAGGUUUUUCCCGGGCGCCCAUCCUCAAUACAACUACUGUAAAUGAAUAAAACAUAAAGACAUUGAAAGACUGCGUGGAUCAUCCCAUUUGAACAGUAACGAGUCAAUCUGGAAUUACAGCAUGAACAAUACAUUACACAAGUCAAUUUCACAUGGAGCUCGCACUUUAUUUAUUUUAAACUGGGCAAACAAUUUAACUAUGACAAAGAACUGUCUCAAAUUGAAUAAUGUCAGCACAUAAAACUCACUAAAACCAGGAGAUAACUUCCUUAUCUCAGAAUAACAAAAUGCAGAUCUGCCGUUUCAGACAGAAUGAGGUCAGUGUUGCGUCAAACCCGCUGCACUCGAACAUGUUCCGCCUGCAUCUGUGCAAAGGACUUUAUCUUCUCAACUAGUGCAAACUGUUUCCGACUCUUUUCCGAUACUUAUUUCAGCAGAGUGCAAUGAAUUGUAUUGACCGAUUAGCUACUGCAGUAACAGAGGUGGUGAUGAGAGUUCACACCCAGACGCAGGUGUCAACGGCUCUUUUAAAUAACGUCACAGGAAUCAGUCACAUUGACGGAGAAAAGAGAAACGUAAUCACAGGGGUGUGAAAUAUAAAGAGGAAAACCAUCGUUAGUUCCUAUCUUUGAAACGGCACAAGAGACAUUAUUUGUCUGAGGGAUGACCAAAAAAAAAAAAAUCUAUUUGUUUUGUCUAACGUUCUAUUGAUAACAACAACAACAACAACCCCUAGUUCUUUUUUCAGCUCUUUGAUUCACACAGAAGUUAAUUUAUUAUUUAUUGGUCUGACUGCAUAGUGAAUAGAGAAACUGGGAAAUAUUUGCUACAAUCACAUUUUGUGUUGUCUUGAUUUACUCCCAAAUGUGAACAUUUGUGUGUGAACUGAACCAAUAAGGAGAUUCUAAAUUCUCAUGAUCACUGUGAGCAUUCCUAAAACGCUCUGAUAGCCAUUGGUGUACAUCUUCCAAGGGAUUCUACACGUGGGAAAUCAAUAAAAAAAAUGGUAUCACUCAAGCUCACUGAUGACUGAUAAUUCUACUAAAUUUGAUUGAUACUACAGUAAAUAUCAGAGUGUAACAUUAUUAGAGAGGGUUAAUUUUCAAACAAACCCAAUAUGUGCCGGGCCAAAGAGUUUUAAAACGACAGGGGAAGUUUGGCAAAAGAAAGUUAGAUCCUUCAGCAUCACAGCAACAAACUGUUUGAGCUU
RNA transcript from Pleuronectes platessa (European plaice), 3844 nucleotides. It is a transcript of the gene named thymocyte expressed, positive selection associated 1, with no coding region annotated. NCBI's taxonomy places the organism in Eukaryota, Metazoa, Chordata, Actinopteri, Pleuronectiformes, Pleuronectidae. The transcript is spliced from 12 exons. The record is from RefSeq and is a predicted model, not a curated record.